GUGGAUUAGAUACCCUGGUAGUCCACGCCGUAAACGUUGGGCGCUAGAUGUGGGUCACAUUCCACGUGAUCCGUGUCGCAGCUAACGCAUUAAGCGCCCCGCCUGGGGAGUACGGCCGCAAGGCUAAAACUCAAAGGAAUUGACGGGGGCCCGCACAAGCGGCGGAGCAUGCGGAUUAAUUCGAUGCAACGCGAAGAACCUUACCAAGGCUUGACAUAUACAGGAAAACUGCAGAAAUGUAGUCCCCCGCAAGGGUCUGUAUACAGGUGGUGCAUGGUUGUCGACAACU
RNAcentral lists this ribosomal RNA (289 nucleotides) under uncultured bacterium. RNAcentral's name for it is "partial 16S ribosomal RNA". It matches the Rfam family "Bacterial small subunit ribosomal RNA", at positions 773 to 1060 of the family's 1533-position model. The record is from RNAcentral.